This 324-nucleotide ribosomal RNA is filed under the name uncultured bacterium. RNAcentral describes it as "bacterial SSU rRNA". It matches the Rfam family "Bacterial small subunit ribosomal RNA", at positions 30 to 355 of the family's 1533-position model. The record is from RNAcentral.
AUUGAACGCUGGCGGAAUGCUUUACACAUGCAAGUCGAACGGCAGCACGGGGCAACCUGGUGGCGAGUGGCGAACGGGUGAGUAAUACAUCGGAACGUGCCCAAUCGUGGGGGAUAACGUAGCGAAAGUUACGCUAAUACCGCAUACGAUCUACGGAUGAAAGCGGGGGAUCGCAAGACCUCGCGCGAAUGGAGCGGCCGAUGUCAGAUUAGGUAGUUGGUGGGGUAAAGGCUCACCAAGCCGACGAUCUGUAGCUGGUCUGAGAGGACGACCAGCCACACUGGGACUGAGACACGGCCCCAGACUCCUACGGGAGGCAGCAGU